UAAGAUAGGUCUAUAGGCAAAC
Molecule: non-coding RNA, 22 nt
Filed under: Mus musculus (house mouse)
Lineage: Eukaryota; Metazoa; Chordata; Mammalia; Rodentia; Muridae
Source: RNAcentral